Molecule: long non-coding RNA, 1344 nt
Filed under: Junco hyemalis (dark-eyed junco)
Lineage: Eukaryota; Metazoa; Chordata; Aves; Passeriformes; Passerellidae
Description: lncRNA (ENSJHYG00000010794.1)
Source: RNAcentral
AUCCUGGAGCAGGAGCAGGACCCCGAGCCCGUCCCGGCCGCGCGGCUCCGGCCCCGCUCGGGGCGGCUCCGGUGGCUCCUGGACCGCGAGGCGGCCGCAGAGCUGGGGCAGCGCCCGCCAGCCUGAAACGGGGGAAAAUGGGGGAAAUUCGGGAAUUCCGGGGAAAAAAUGGGAAAUGUGGAUGGAGGAGUUCCGGAAAAAAACACCCCAGGAAAAAUGGACUUGGAAUGGAGAAAUUCCGUGGGAAAAUGGAGGAAUUCCAUGGGAAAAUGUCCUUAAAAUUGAGAAGUUCAAUGAAAAAAUGUCCUAAGAAAUGGAGAAAUUCCAGAGAACAAUGUCCUUAAAAUUGGGAAAUUCAAUGGAAAAUUUGGGAAUUCCGGGGAAAAAAUGGGAAAUCUGGAUGGAGGAAUUCCGGAAAAAAACACCCCAGGAAAAAUGGACUUGAAAUGGAAAAAUUCCGUGGGAAAAAAGGUCCUUAAAAUGGAGAAAUUCCGUGGGAAAAUGUCUUGAAAAUUGAGAAAUUCCAUGGAAAAUUCGGAAAUUCCGGGGAAAAAAGGGGAAAUAUGGAUGGAGGAAUUCCAGAAAAAAAAAACAGGAAAAAUUCUGUGGCAAAAAAUUGGGGAAUUCCCAGGUAAAAUAUCUUUAAAAUGGAGAAAUUCCAUGGAAAAUGGGCCGGGAGUGGAGGAAUUCCAGAAAAAAAACCAGGAAAAAUGGACUUGAAAUGGAAAAAUUCCGUGGGAAAAAAUGUCUUUAAAAUGGAGGAAUUCCAUGGGAAAAUGUCCUUAAAAUGGAGAAAUUCUAUGAAAAAAUGUCCUAAGAAAUGAAGAAAAUCCAGAGAAAAAUGUCCUUAAAACUGGGGAAUUCCCAGGUAAAAUAUCUCUAAAAUUGAGAAAUUCCAUGGAAAAAUGUCCUUAAAAUGGAGAAAUUCCAGAAAAAAACCAGCAGAAAGGUCCUUCAAAUGGAGAAAAUCCCAGGAAAAAUGUCCUUAAAAUGGAGAAAUUCCAGGAAAAAAUGUCCUAAGAAAUGGAGAAAAUCCAGAGAAAAAUGUCCUUAAAACUGGGAAAUUCCAUGGGAAAAUGGAGGAAUUCCGUGGGAAAAUGUCCUUAAAAUGGAGGAAUUUCAUGAAAAAAUGUCCUAAGAAAUGGAGAAAAUCCAGAGAAAAAUGUUCUUAAAAUUGGGAAAUUCCAGAAAAAAAAAAACCAGCAGAAAUGUCCUUAAAAUGGAGAAAAUCCAGAGAAAAAUGUCCUUAAAAUUGGGAAAUUCCCAGGUAAAAUAUCUUUAAAAUUGAGAAAUUCCGUGGAAAAAAGGGAAGAAAUAUCGUUAAAAUUGAGAAAUUCCAUGGGA